AGUGAAUAUAGUUUAUUAAAAAUUU
RNAcentral lists this transfer RNA (25 nucleotides) under Litoria staccato. RNAcentral describes it as "partial tRNA-His". Lineage: Eukaryota; Metazoa; Chordata; Amphibia; Anura; Pelodryadidae. The record is from RNAcentral.